Molecule: ribosomal RNA, 456 nt
Filed under: uncultured bacterium
Lineage: Bacteria
Description: SSU rRNA
Rfam family: Bacterial small subunit ribosomal RNA
Source: RNAcentral
AGAAUCAACGCUGGCGGCGUGCCUAACACAUGCAAGUCGAACGAGAAAGGGUAGCAAUACCUGAGUAAAGUGGCGCACGGGUGAGUAACACGUGACUAACCUACCUUUUAGUGGGGGAUAACCUAGGGAAACCUGGGCUAAUACCGCAUAAUACCUACGGGUCAAAGCAGCAAUGCGCUGGAAGAGGGGGUCGCGGCCGAUUAGCUAGUUGGCGGGGUAAUGGCCCACCAAGGCAGUGAUCGGUAUCCGGCCUGAGAGGGCGCACGGACACACUGGAACUGAAACACGGUCCAGACUCCUACGGGAGGCAGCAGUGGGGAAUUUGCGCAAUGGGGGAAACCCUGACGCAGCAACGCCGCGUGGAGGACGAAGACCCUUGGGUCGUAAACUCCUUUCGAUCGGGACAUAAUGACGGUACCGGAAGAAGAAGCCCCGGCUAACUUCGUGCCAGCAGCC